GUGAGGAAUAUUGGACAAUGGGCGCAAGCCUGAUCCAGCCAUGCCGCGUGCAGGAAGACGCAUCUAUGGUGUGUAAACUGCUUUUGUACGGGAAGAAACACUCCCUCGUGAGGGAGCUUGACGGUACCGUAAGAAUAAGGAUCGGCUAACUCCGUGCCAGCAGCCGCGGUAAUACGGAGGAUCCAAGCGUUAUCCGGAAUCAUUGGGUUUAAAGGGUUCGUAGGCGGUUUAAUAAGUCAGUGGUGAAAGCCCAUCGCUCAACGAUGGAACGGCCAUUGAUACUGUUAGACUUGAAUUACAAGGAAGUAACUAGAAUAUGUAGUGUAGCGGUGAAAUGCUUAGAUAUUACAUGGAAUACCAAUUGCGAAGGCAGGUUACUACUUGUGGAUUGACGCUGAUGGACGAAAGCGUGGGGAGCGAACAGGAUUAGAAACCCCAGUAGUCC
Molecule: ribosomal RNA, 445 nt
Filed under: uncultured bacterium
Lineage: Bacteria
Description: partial 16S ribosomal RNA
Rfam family: Bacterial small subunit ribosomal RNA
Source: RNAcentral